AUACGUAGGUGGCAAGCGUUGUCCGGAUUUAUUGGGCGUAAAGCGAGCGCAGGCGGUUUUUUAAGUCUGAUGUGAAAGCCUUCCCCCGGCUCAACCGAAGAAGUGCAUCGGAAACUGGGAAACUUGAGUGCAGAAGAGGACAGUGGAACUCCAUGUGUAGCGGUGAAAUGCGUAGAUAUAUGGAAGAACACCAGUGGCGAAGGCGGCUGUCAGGUCUGUAACUGACGCUGAGGCUCGAAAGUAUGGGUAGC
This 251-nucleotide ribosomal RNA is filed under the name uncultured bacterium. Its description in RNAcentral is "partial 16S ribosomal RNA". It matches the Rfam family "Bacterial small subunit ribosomal RNA", at positions 523 to 769 of the family's 1533-position model. The record is from RNAcentral.